This 483-nucleotide long non-coding RNA is filed under the name Citrus sinensis (sweet orange). RNAcentral describes it as "long non-coding RNA (CSIN_LNC005650)". The record is from RNAcentral. Lineage: Eukaryota; Viridiplantae; Streptophyta; Magnoliopsida; Sapindales; Rutaceae.
AACAAGAUGUUAAGGAAGAGAGUUUUGUCAGGGAACUGUUUCGGAGAGGUUGGCCAAGUGCAUUUUUGUUUUUUUCUUGUUUUGCCCUUUUCAUUAAUGCACAACAUUAGUCCACGUGAAGAGCACAAAAUGCUGGUGGCUUUGUCACUAACGAUAAUGGAUGGAGUGUCCAAAGCAACCAACUAAAUUUUAAAGAGAGGGAAUGAUAAGUAAUAUCUUAAUGGGGUGAUUAAUUAAUUUAUUAUCAAGCAAUUGUAUUUAUUUAUUUAAAAGAUAUCCUUAUCUUUGUACAAGGUUUGAGGAAAGACGACGAUGUUGUGUUGUCACAUAUUUUUACGUUUCUCCAUAAUUCACUGCAACAUCAACUGGGCCACCACCUCUUGCCUCUCCUGGUUCCCCUCAAUUUUCGUAUUCAAUGUCCACCGUUGAUUGUACAUUUAUUAAAAUUCUGUGGUUAUUGUUUUUUUGCAUACAUUUAAUUCC